UUGAACGCUGGCGGCAGGCCUAACACAUGCAAGUCGAGCGGAUGAAGGGAGCUUGCUCCUGGCUUCAGCGGCGGACAGGUGAGUAAUGCCUAGGAAUCUGCCUGGUAGUGGGGGAUAACGUCCGGAAACGGGCGCUAAUACCGCAUACGUCCUGAGGGAGAAAGUGGGGGAUCUUCGGACCUCACGCUAUCAGAUGAGCCUAGGUCGGAUUAGCUAGUUGGUGGGGUAAAGGCCUACCAAGGCGACGAUCCGUAACUGGUCUGAGAGGAUGAUCAGUCACAAUGGAACUGAGACACGGUCCAGACUCCUACGGGAGGCAGCAGUGGGGAAUAUUGGACAAUGGGCGGAAGCCUGAUCCAGCCAUGCCGCGUGUGUGAAGAAGGUCUUCGGAUUGUAAAGCACUUUAAGUUGGGAGGAAGGGCAGUAAGUUAAUACCUUGCUGUUUUGACGUUACCAACAGAAGAAGCACCGGCUAACUUCGUG
Molecule: ribosomal RNA, 483 nt
Filed under: uncultured bacterium
Lineage: Bacteria
Description: partial 16S ribosomal RNA
Rfam family: Bacterial small subunit ribosomal RNA
Source: RNAcentral